GUCGACGACUUCACGGCUGCUUGCGCUGGUGGCGACUGACGGAUGAGUGACUAAUACAUCACAUCCCACCUUAUCGUGGGGGAUAGCGCGAAAAAGGCUGUGAUACUGCCUGUUAAGCCCUGAGGGGGAAAGCGGGGGAUCGAAAGACCUCGCGCGAUUAGAGCGGGCGAUGCCUGAUUUGGUUGGUGGGGGGGUGGAAGCCCACCGCGGCGACCAUCAGGUGCUGGUCUGAGAGGAUGAUCAGCCACACUGGGACUGAGACACGGCCCAGACUCCUACGGGAGGCAGCAGUGGGGAAUUUUGGACAAUGGGGGAAACCCUGAUCCAGCAAUGCCGCGUGAGUGAAGAAGGCCUUCGGGUUGUAAAGCUCUUUUGUCAGGGAUGAAACACCGGCUCUAACACAGUCCGGGAAUGACGGUACCUGAAGAAUAAGCACCGGCUAACUACGUGCCAGCAGCCGCGGUAAUACGUGGGGUGCGAGCGUUAAUCGGAAUUACUGGGCGUCAAGCGUGCGCAGGCCGUUAUACACUCAGGCCUGAAAUCCCCGGGAUUAACCUGGGAAUGGCGCCAGUGACUGUAUAUCUAGAGUGUGUCGGAGGGGGGUAGAAUUCCACGUGUAAACAUGAAAUGCGUAGAUAUGUGGAGGAAUCCCAAUGGCCAAUGCAGCCCCCUGGCAUAACACUGACGCUCAUGCACGAUAUGCGUGCGGAGCAAACUGAUUCGAUACCCUGGUAGUCCACGCCCUAUACGAUGCUGACUACUCGUUCGCGAUUUACAUCCUGAGUAACCCAGCUCACGCGUGAAGUCUGGCUACAGUAGAGUACAGUCGACAUGAUUCAGCUCAACGAAUUAACGG
RNAcentral lists this ribosomal RNA (856 nucleotides) under uncultured bacterium. RNAcentral describes it as "bacterial SSU rRNA". It matches the Rfam family "Bacterial small subunit ribosomal RNA", at positions 61 to 916 of the family's 1533-position model. The record is from RNAcentral.